Pongo pygmaeus (Bornean orangutan) is the source of this 2643-nucleotide long non-coding RNA. RefSeq lists it as uncharacterized. The record is from RefSeq and is a predicted model, not a curated record. Lineage: Eukaryota; Metazoa; Chordata; Mammalia; Primates; Hominidae. The transcript is spliced from 3 exons.
UCUCAUUCUUCUCUUUCCUGUCACCAUGUGAAGGAUAUGCUUGCUUCCUCUUCUGCCGUGAUUGUAAGUUUCCUGAGGCCUCUCCAGCCAUGCUGAACUGCUUAUAAACAGAAGGGACUUGCCUUGUCUCAGAUGAGACUUUGGACUUAGAAUUUUGGGUAAUGCUGCAAUGAGCUGAGACCUGCACAGAUGGAAAGAUGCAGAUAAGAAACGUGCGAAGCCACAAGAAAGCCAAGUAGCCUGGGAAAAAGUGGUCAUUGAGCCAUGAGCAAAAAAUAACACUUGAUCCUGUUGGUGCCACCUGACGGCAGAGAUGGCUGAGGACCCCCGAGCAUAAGUCCAGAGAGCUCCCCUGCAGCCCCACCCUGACUUUCCAGGAUGAGCCUUCUCUAGAAAGCCACUGCUCAUUCAGAAAGUGAAGAACGCCUGUGUUUCCAACACCAACCCCAGCUCUGCUGACGUCCCAGGAGGGCAGGACCACGCGUGACGGAACACCAGGCAGGGGAGACUCAAAUUUAUAAGCUACAUGAGAUGUUUUGAAACAGGCACACAAUGAAUAAUCACAUCAAGGUAAAUGAGGUAUCCAUUAUGUCAAGCAUUUAUCAUUUCUUUGUGUUACAAACAUUCCAGUUAUAUGUGUAGUUAUUUUAAAAUGCACAAUAAGUUGUUGUUGACUGUAGUCGCCCCAUUGUGCUAUCAAAUAGUAGAUCUGAUCUUAUUCAUUCUAGCUAACUAUAUUUUUGUAUCCAUUAACCAGCCCCACUUCUGACUUCUCCGACUUCCAUUCCCAGCCUCUGGUAACCAUCAUUCUACUAUCUAUCUCCAGGAAGUCAAUUGUUUUAAUUUUUAGUUGCCACAAAUGAGUGAGAACACACAGUUUAUCUUUCUGUGUCUCUCUUAUUUCACUUAACAUAAUAUACUCCAGCUCCGUCCAUGUUGCUGCAAAUGACGGGAUCUCAUUUUUUUUUUUUCAAUUGCUGAAUAGUACUCCAAAACAGUGUGUAUGUGGUAAGUGCUGACAUAUGUAAACACCACUGAAGUCAUCAGCAAAAUCAAGAUAAUGAACAUGUGUCAAUCCCAAAAACUUUCAUCUGUCUUCUUUGUAUUUCGUUUCUCCCAUCCUUCUACCCCCAUCCCCCAUCCCCAGGCAAAACUAAUCUGCUUCCUUUAUUUACUGUCAGUUAGUUUGCAUUUUCUAGAAUUUUGUAUAAAUAGACUCAUAUAGAAUGUACUCUGUUUUGGUCUAGUUUCUUUAAUUUAGCAUAAUUAUUGUGAGAUGCAUCUAUGUUGUUGCAUACAUCUUUUUUUUUGCUGAGUAGUAAUCUAUUGUAUGAAUGUAACACCAAUUUACUAUUUUGUUGGUAGAUAUUUUAGUUGUUUCCAAGUUUAGGUUAUUACAUAUAAAACUACUAUGAAUAUUCAUGUUUAAGUCAUUGUGUGAAAACAUGCUUUUAUUAUUUUUGAAUAUAUACCUAGAAGUAAAAUUGUUGGAUCAUAUGGUUAGUAUAUGUUUACUUUUGUGGGAUAAUGUCAAUGUCUUAGUAUAUAUUCUAGCUGUUGUUUUUUCUUGUUACUUUACUUUUUAAUCAAAAUAAUCUGUCAAUAACUUUAGAGAAGUACGAUUUUCUUCUAGAAUUCCCUAUAAUUUUUGCUUUAUAUUUUACUAUAUUUUUUCUGUAUAUAUAUUUGCUAUAUUUGCCAAAAUAUGUCUUGUAUAUUGAAGUAAUGUUAGUUACCCACAUGGUCAGAGCAUUACAUUGUGUUGUAAUGCUUUGCCAAUUUUUUUCUUUUAUUUGUCCAUAUGUCUGUUUUGCUUGAUAUUAAUAUAACCAACUUUCAUUUACUUUAUAUAUAAUUUCCAUUCUUUGACUUCAAAACUCUCUGACUUUAUGUUUUUACCUCUUGUAAAGGUAUAUAGCUGGAACUUAUUUAUCAGAGCAUCUAGUACUAAGAGCUUUUCUGUAAGAGUGAUUGCCAUUUAUUUGUGGGUAAUAUACUGCUACUCUCUCAUAGCUUUGAACAGUUUCUCUCUUAGCUCUUCCUAUCUUUCUUAUUCUCUGUCUUGCUUUCACUUUUGUUCCUGUUCUUUCUUUCUCUCUGUGUCUGUUUUCUGUUUCCUACUUUAUUAUAAUAUAUUUAAAUAUAAAUUCUGAAUAAUUCUCAGUUAUUAUCAUCUUAAGCAUUUAUUUUUCUACAGCCUCUCUGUCAUUUUCUUUUGGUCCUAUUUAGAUAAAUGUUAGAUCUUUUUAACACAUUUAAAUAUAUCUCUUUUUUAUGUCAUAAUUUCUUCUGAUAGAAAUUGUGUGAUAUUUUCAACUAUUUUUUCCAUUUCAAUUAUCCCUUUUUCAGCUAAAUAUAGACUGCUGUUUACCUAUCUCUAUCAGCUAUCUAUGUCUACCUAUUAAUGUGUCUGUCUCUCUAUAACAUAUGCAUGUAUAUAUUUCAAUGGAACUGCAUUUUAAAAAUAUAUAUUUUGUUCUUUUCUGAGAUGUAUUGUUUCAUUAUGUCACGCUUUUUCCCUAAGGUUUCAAUUUUUAUUUUACAUUUUAAUGAAUUUUACAUUUAUUUUGUAUCUUAUUUGAGUGAUCUUGAUAUUACAACAUGGUCAUGGGGUUAUAAAUCAGAUGUGUCUUUUAACUCACU